AUCUGGGCGGCGGAAUUCAGGAUGACGGGCGCGUUUCGCGCGUCCGUCGUUUGAUAUUUCCGUCGCCGACUCAACCCGCAGACGUCGCGACCUGUUCGCGGUCGGUCCCUGCUCGGAGGAGUCACGUUCGAGUUUGUUGCGUGCGCGUUUCUGCGCGUUACGCGGCAAAGGCGUGAAUCUCUGGCUGACCGUCGGACAGUACGUUCAACGGUGUCCGGUGUCGUCGUCUCGUACGCGCGCGCACCGGUACCGGUCGGCGACGAAUUCUUCGGGCCUCUUUCCGACCCGUCUUGAAACACGGACCAAGGAGUCUAACAUGCGCGCGAGUCGCGGGGUGUCGAGCGUACUUCGGUGCGUUCGUUACGUUGCGAAACCCGUACAUGUCGAAGGCGAUAAUGAAAGUGAAUGGGGAAGAUGGUGUUCCGAGUACACGUUCCGCGGUCAUUGGUACCGCGGCCGGGCACCCGCAUUCCCGGGGCGUCUCAACGGCCCGUCGCGGAUGCGGGCAAUCGCCGGUCUGCGACGAACCGA
RNAcentral lists this ribosomal RNA (531 nucleotides) under Parlatoria cinerea. Its description in RNAcentral is "eukaryotic LSU rRNA". The record is from RNAcentral. Lineage: Eukaryota; Metazoa; Arthropoda; Insecta; Hemiptera; Diaspididae.